CCUACGGGUGGCAGCAGUGAGGAAUAUUGGUCAAUGGCCGGAAGGCUGAACCAGCCAUGCCGCGUGAAGGUCAGUGCCCUAUGGGCGUUAAACUUCUUUUGUGCGGGAGCAAUAAUGGUCACUUUUGGCCAGACGAGAGUACCGUACGAAUAAGCAUCGUCUAACUCCGUGCCAGCAGCCGCGGUAAUACGGGGGAUGCAAGCGUUAUCCGGAUUUAUUGGGUUUAAAGGGUGCGUAGGCUGUGAGGUAAGUCAGCGGUGAAAUUCCCCCGCUCAACGGGGUGAAGUGCCAUUGAUACUGCCUUGCUUGAAUGCGGAUGCGGUGGGAGGAAUGUGUGGUGUAGCGGUGAAAUGCAUAGAUAUCACACAGAACACCGAUUGCGAAGGCAUCUCGCGAAUCCGCGAUUGACGCUGAUGCACGAAAGCGUGGGUAUCAAACAGGAUUAGAUACCCGGGUAGUC
This 460-nucleotide ribosomal RNA is filed under the name uncultured bacterium. RNAcentral's name for it is "partial 16S ribosomal RNA". It matches the Rfam family "Bacterial small subunit ribosomal RNA", at positions 338 to 795 of the family's 1533-position model. The record is from RNAcentral.